This 403-nucleotide ribosomal RNA is filed under the name uncultured bacterium. Its description in RNAcentral is "bacterial SSU rRNA". It matches the Rfam family "Bacterial small subunit ribosomal RNA", at positions 355 to 775 of the family's 1533-position model. The record is from RNAcentral.
UGGGGAAUUUUGCACAAUGGGCGAAAGCCUGAUGCAGCAACGCCGCGUGCGGGAUGAAGGCCCUCGGGUUGUAAACCGCUUUCAGCAGGGACGAAUAUGACGGUACCUGCAGAAGAAGCCCCGGCUAACUACGUGCCAGCAGCCGCGGUAAUACGUAGGGGGCAAGCGUUAUCCGGAUUCAUUGGGCGUAAAGAGCGCGUAGGCGGACUGUUAAGUCAGAUGUGAAAACCGGGGGCUCAACCCGCGGCCUGCAUCUGAAACUGGCAGUCUUGAGUCUGGUAGAGGAAAGUGGAAUUCCUGGUGUAGCAGUGAAAUGCGUAGAUAUCGAGAGGAACACCAGUGGCGAAGGCGAGUCUCUGGACGACUCCUGACACUGAGGCACGAAAGCCAGGGGAGCAAACAG